UUUGGCGCGUUGCGUCCGCGGAUUCCCCUGCCCGGUGCAGCCGACCGCGGGCGCAUCGCGCGUCUCGUUCGUCCCCCGCGACUCGACGGCUUGGAGGGCUCACUCGGUGCGGUCUGUGCUUCGUAGCCGGAAUGCGGCAACCUCGCGACCCGAUGACCGGACGUCGGCUCUCCCCUCCCUCCGGGGCGGCGGCGAGCCGACCGGCUGCGGCGCCCCGUGCGUCCCCCUGCGCUGCUCUCGG
RNAcentral lists this unclassified non-coding RNA (241 nucleotides) under Lemna japonica. Its description in RNAcentral is "partial external transcribed spacer". Lineage: Eukaryota; Viridiplantae; Streptophyta; Magnoliopsida; Alismatales; Araceae. The record is from RNAcentral.